UUUUAAGUAUAAUUAUGUCCCAUGCAAUCUUUGUGACAUGCUUAUACUAAAC
Non-coding RNA from Myotis lucifugus (little brown bat), 52 nucleotides. NCBI's taxonomy places the organism in Eukaryota, Metazoa, Chordata, Mammalia, Chiroptera, Vespertilionidae. The record is from Rfam.